AGUGAACGCUGGCGGCGUGCCUAAUACAUGCAAGUCGAACGGAGUGGCGCACGGGUGAGUAAUAUAUAGCUAAUCUGCCCCUUUCUGGAGGACAACAGCUAGAAACGAAUGCUAAUACUCCAUAGGACGGGAUGAGACUAUAUCGUAUCAGCUAGUCGGUGAGGUAACGGCCGACCGAGGCUAUGACGCGUCACUGGUCUGCGAGGAUGAUCAGUAACAUUCGAACUGAGACACGUGUCAAACUCCUACGGAAGGCAACAGUAGAGAAUAUUGCGCUAUGGGUGAACCCGUGACGCAGCAACGCUCCGUGGAGGAUGACACUUUUCGGAGCGUAAACUCAUUUUGUUAGGGAAGCGGUACCUAACGAAUAAGCACCGGCUAACUCCGUGCCAGCAGCCGCGGUAAUAC
This 408-nucleotide ribosomal RNA is filed under the name uncultured bacterium. RNAcentral describes it as "partial 16S ribosomal RNA". It matches the Rfam family "Bacterial small subunit ribosomal RNA", at positions 29 to 526 of the family's 1533-position model. The record is from RNAcentral.